Molecule: ribosomal RNA, 43 nt
Filed under: Saponaria cypria
Lineage: Eukaryota; Viridiplantae; Streptophyta; Magnoliopsida; Caryophyllales; Caryophyllaceae
Description: partial 28S ribosomal RNA
Source: RNAcentral
CCCAGGUCAGGCGGGGCUACCCGCUGAAUUUAAGCAUAUCAAA